GAACCCUGCCGUGAGGUGGGGGUGCCUUCGGGAGCCUGGAGACAGGUGCAGCAUGGCUGUCGUCAGCUCGUGUCGUGAGAUGUUGGGUUAAGUCCCGCAACGAGCGCAACCCUUGUCCUUGAUUGCCAGCGGGAAAGCCGGACUCUUAGGAGACACUGCCAGGGAAAAACCGGAGGAAGGUGGGGAUGACGUCAAGUCAUCAUGGCCUUGAUGGGCAGGGCGACACACGUGUUACAAUGAGGGGUACAAGGGGGACCCAAGCCGCGAGGCGGAGCCAAUCUCAAAAACCCGCUUUCAGGCCGAAUCAGAAUCUGCAACUCGACUCUGUGAAGUCGGAGUCGCGAGUACUCGUGUAUCAGCCAUGCCGCGGUGAAUACGUUCCCGGGUCUUGUACAC
Molecule: ribosomal RNA, 396 nt
Filed under: uncultured Gammaproteobacteria bacterium
Lineage: Bacteria; Pseudomonadati; Pseudomonadota; Gammaproteobacteria
Description: bacterial SSU rRNA
Rfam family: Bacterial small subunit ribosomal RNA
Source: RNAcentral